UGUGAAGACUACAGCACUCCACUGAAUGC
Molecule: non-coding RNA, 29 nt
Filed under: Rattus norvegicus (Norway rat)
Lineage: Eukaryota; Metazoa; Chordata; Mammalia; Rodentia; Muridae
Source: RNAcentral